CCUACGGGUGGCAGCAGUGGGGAAUAUUGCACAAUGGGGGAAACCCUGAUGCAGCGACGCCGCGUGAGUGAAGAAGUAAUUCGUUAUGUAAAGCUCUAUCAGCAGGGAAGAAAAUGACGGUACCUGAGUAAGAAGCCCCGGCUAACUACGUGCCAGCACCCGCGGUAAUACGUAGGGGGCAAGCGUUAUCCGGAUUUACUGGGUGUAAACGGAGCGUAGACGGGAGUGCAAGUCUGGAGUGAAAGGCGGGGGCGCAACCCCCGGACUGCCGUGGAAACUGUACGGCUGGAGUGCGGGAGAGGUACGCGGAAUGCGUGGUGUAGCGGUGAAAUGCGUAGAUA
Molecule: ribosomal RNA, 341 nt
Filed under: uncultured bacterium
Lineage: Bacteria
Description: partial 16S ribosomal RNA
Rfam family: Bacterial small subunit ribosomal RNA
Source: RNAcentral